Molecule: ribosomal RNA, 379 nt
Filed under: uncultured bacterium
Lineage: Bacteria
Description: bacterial SSU rRNA
Rfam family: Bacterial small subunit ribosomal RNA
Source: RNAcentral
AAUGAACGCUGGCGGCGCGCCUAAUACAUGCAAGUCGAGCGAGAAGACGUAGCAAUACGUUUGUAAAGCGGCGAACGGGUGAAGAAUACAUGGGUAACCUACCCUAGAGUGGGGAUAACUAGCCGAAGGUUAGCUAAUACCGCGUACGCUCCCUGGACUUCGGUUCAGGGAGGAAAGCGCUACCGUGGGUAGCGCGCUCUUGGAUGGGCUCAUGUCCUAUCAGCUUGUUGGUGAGGUAACGGCUCACCAAGGCUUCGACGGGUAGCUGGUCUGAGAGGACGAUCAGCCACACUGGCACUGCGACACGGGCCAGACUCCUACGGGAGGCAGCAGUAAGGAAUAUUGCGCAAUGGGCGAAAGCCUGACGCAGCGACGCCGC